Molecule: ribosomal RNA, 427 nt
Filed under: uncultured bacterium
Lineage: Bacteria
Description: partial 16S ribosomal RNA
Rfam family: Bacterial small subunit ribosomal RNA
Source: RNAcentral
UGGGGAAUAUUGCACAAUGGGCGCAAGCCUGAUGCAGCUAUGCCGCGUGUAUGAAGAAGGCCUUCGGGUUGUAAAGUACUUUCAGCGGGGAGGAAGGUGUUGAGGCUAAUAACCUCAGCAAUUGACGUUACCCGCAGAAGAAGCACCGGCUAACUCCGUGCCAGCAGCCGCGGUAAUACGGAGGGUGCAAGCGUUAAUCGGAAUUACUGGGCGUAAAGCGCACGCAGGCGGUCUGUCAAGUCGGAUGUGAAAUCCCCGGGCUCAACCUGGGAACUGCAUUCGAAACUGGCAGGCUAGAGUCUUGUAGAGGGGGGUAGAAUUCCAGGUGUAGCGGUGAAAUGCGUAGAGAUCUGGAGGAAUACCGGUGGCGAAGGCGGCCCCCUGGACAAAGACUGACGCUCAGGUGCGAAAGCGUGGGGAGCAAACA